This 512-nucleotide ribosomal RNA is filed under the name uncultured bacterium. RNAcentral's name for it is "partial 16S ribosomal RNA". It matches the Rfam family "Bacterial small subunit ribosomal RNA", at positions 28 to 507 of the family's 1533-position model. The record is from RNAcentral.
GAUGAACGCUGGCGGCGUGCCUAAUACAUGCAAGUCGAACGAAACUUCUUUAUCACCGAGUGCUUGCACUCACCGAUAAAGAGUUGAGUGGCGAACGGGUGAGUAACACGUGGGCAGCCUGCCCAAAAGAGGGGGAUAACACUUGGAAACACGUGCUAAUACCGCAUAACCAUAGUUACCGCAUGGUAACUAUGUAAAAGGUGGCUAUACUACCGCUUUUGGAUGGGCCCGCGGCGCAUUAGCUAGUUGGUAGGGUAAAGGCUUACCAAGGCAAUGAUGCGUAGCCGAAUUGAGAGGUUGAUCGGCCACAUUGGGACUGAGACACGGCCCAAACUCCUACGGGAGGCAGCAGUAGGGAAUCUUCCACAAUGGGCGAAAGCCUGAUGGAGCAACGCCGCGUGGGUGAAGAAGGUCUUCGGAUCGUAAAACCCUGUUGUUAGAGAAGAAAGUGCGUGAGAGUAACUGUUCACGUUUCGACGGUAUCUAACCAGAAAGCCACGGCUAACUACGUG